AACUAACGCUGGCGGCGUGCCUAACACAUGCAAGUCGUACGAGAAAGCCGGCUUCGGCUGGUGAGUAAAGUGGCGCACGGGUGAGUAACGCGUGGAUAAUCUGCCCUUAAGUGUGGAAUAACGUACCGAAAGGUGCGCUAAUACCGCAUAAUGCCUGGCAACACAAGUUGUCCGGCCAAAGAAGGCCUCUGUUUACAAGCUUUCGCUUCAGGAUGAGUCCGCGUACCAUUAGCUUGUUGGUGGGGUAAUGGCCUACCAAGGCUGCGAUGGUUAGCUGGUCUGAGAGGAUGAUCAGCCACACUGGAACUGAGACACGGUCCAGACUCCUACGGGAGGCAGCAGUGAGGAAUAUUGCGCAAUGGGGGCAACCCUGACGCAGCAACGCCGCGUGAGUGAGGAAGGUUUUCGGACUGUAAAGCUACUGUCGAGCGGGAAGAAGUGUACCAUGGCUAAUAUCCAUGAUAUUUGACGGUACCGCUAGAGG
Molecule: ribosomal RNA, 484 nt
Filed under: uncultured bacterium
Lineage: Bacteria
Description: bacterial SSU rRNA
Rfam family: Bacterial small subunit ribosomal RNA
Source: RNAcentral